RNAcentral lists this ribosomal RNA (497 nucleotides) under uncultured bacterium. Its description in RNAcentral is "partial 16S ribosomal RNA". It matches the Rfam family "Bacterial small subunit ribosomal RNA", at positions 28 to 507 of the family's 1533-position model. The record is from RNAcentral.
GAUGAACGCUGGCGGCGUGCCUAAUACAUGCAAGUCGAGCGAACAGACGAGGAGCUUGCUCCUCUGACGUUAGCGGCGGACGGGUGAGUAACACGUGGAUAACCUACCUAUAAGACUGGGAUAACUUCGGGAAACCGGAGCUAAUACCGGAUAAUAUAUUGAACCGCAUGGUUCAAUAGUGAAAGACGGUUUUGCUGUCACUUAUAGAUGGAUCCGCGCCGCAUUAGCUAGUUGGUAAGGUAACGGCUUACCAAGGCGACGAUGCGUAGCCGACCUGAGAGGGUGAUCGGCCACACUGGAACUGAGACACGGUCCAGACGACUACGGGAGGCAGCAGUAGGGAAUCUUCCGCAAUGGGCGAAAGCCUGACGGAGCAACGCCGCGUGAGUGAUGAAGGUCUUCGGAUCGUAAAACUCUGUUAUUAGGGAAGAACAAAUGUGUAAGUAACCAUGCACGUAUUGACGGUACCUAAUCAGAAAGCCACGGCUAACUACGUG